AUGAACGCUAGCGACAGGCCUAACACAUGCAAGUCGAGGGGCAGCACAAGGAGCAAUCUGAGGUGGCGACCGGCGCACGGUGAGUAACACGUAUGCAACCUGCCUGUAAGCGGGGAAUAACCCGUUGAAAGACGGACUAAUACCGCAUAAUACUAAAUUACUGCAUGGUAAUUUAUUUAAACAUUUAUGGCUUACAGAUGGGCAUGCGCAUGAUUAGCUAGUUGGAGAGGUAACGGCUCCCCAAGGCAACGAUCAUUAGGGGUUCUGAGAGGAAGGUCCCCCACACUGGUACUGAGACACGGACCAGACUCCUACGGGAGGCAGCAGUGAGGAAUAUUGGUCAAUGGACGAGAGUCUGAACCAGCCAAGUCGCGUGCAGGAAGAAUGUCCUUAAUGGAUUGUAAACUGCUUUUGCAGGGGAAUAAAGUGCAUCACGUGUGAUGUUUUGUAUGUACUCUGCGAAUAAGGAUCGGCUAACUCCGUGCCAGCAGCUGC
Molecule: ribosomal RNA, 495 nt
Filed under: uncultured bacterium
Lineage: Bacteria
Description: bacterial SSU rRNA
Rfam family: Bacterial small subunit ribosomal RNA
Source: RNAcentral